RNAcentral lists this ribosomal RNA (371 nucleotides) under Allobates sumtuosus. Its description in RNAcentral is "partial 16S ribosomal RNA". It matches the Rfam family "Bacterial large subunit ribosomal RNA", at positions 1928 to 2433 of the family's 2925-position model. The record is from RNAcentral. Lineage: Eukaryota; Metazoa; Chordata; Amphibia; Anura; Aromobatidae.
CGGCCGCGGUAUCCUAACCGUGCGAAGGUAGCGUAAUCACUUGUUCUUUAAAUGAGGACUAGUAUGAACGGCUUCACGAAGGCUAUACUGUCUCCCUUAUCUAAUCAGUUAAACUAAUCUCCCCGUGAAGAAGCGGGGAUUCACAUAUAAGACGAGAAGACCCUAUGGAGCUUAAAACACCUCUAAACAUUUGACCUCCACACUACUAUUUUCAGAAAUCUUUACAAAGCCCGUCAUUUUGUUUUAAGUUUUAGGUUGGGGUGACCGCGGAGAAUAACCUAACCUCCACGUAGAAAGAACUUUCUUUUCUAAGCAAAAAGCUACAUCUUUAUGCAUCAACAUAUUGACCUAAUUGACCCAAUUAUUUGAUC